This 468-nucleotide ribosomal RNA is filed under the name uncultured bacterium. RNAcentral's name for it is "partial 16S ribosomal RNA". It matches the Rfam family "Bacterial small subunit ribosomal RNA", at positions 28 to 507 of the family's 1533-position model. The record is from RNAcentral.
GACGAACGCUGGCGGCGUGCUUAACACAUGCAAGUCGAACGGAAAGGCCCUGCUUUUGUGGGGUGCUCGAGUGGCGAACGGGUGAGUAACACGUGAGUAACCUGCCCUUGACUUUGGGAUAACUUCAGGAAACUGGGGCUAAUACCGGAUAGGAGCUCCUGCUGCAUGGUGGGGGUUGGAAAGUUUCGGCGGUUGGGGAUGGACUCGCGGCUUAUCAGCUUGUUGGUGGGGUAGUGGCUUACCAAGGCUUUGACGGGUAGCCGGCCUGAGAGGGUUGCCGGCCGCAUUGGGACUGAGAUACGGCCCAGACGCCUACGGGAGGCAGCAGUGGGGAAUAUUGCACAAUGGGCGGAAGCCUGAUGCAGCAACGCCGCGUGCGGGAUGACGGCCUUCGGGUUGUAAACCGCUUUCGCCUGUGACGAAGCGUGAGUGACGGUAAUGGGUAAAGAAGCACCGGCUAACUACGUG